AAAGGGAGACCUAAUUCAGGUAGGAGACGAAAAAAAAGUAGUCGCUACCAAGAAUCAAUCCCAAAAGGUCGGAGCGAGGCGAAAUUGGCUUUCAAACUAGGUUCUGGGUUCAAACAAGACCUGAAUCAGGAACAAGGGCUAUUAGCUCAGGUGGUUAGAGCGCACCCCUGAUAAGGGUGAGGUCCCUGGUUCGAGUCCAGGAUGGCCCACCUGUACAGGUGGCAAAAAGAAAGAAAAGAAGCGAGGAAUCAGCACCUUAUCUUACUGACAUAGUAAGAGAGAAUGCUGGCUCUGAGUAAAGAGUCCAGAGGAACCUUGAAAACUGCAUAGAGCUAGGCGAAAAAGCCAAAAAAGAAGACCGCAAG
Molecule: transfer RNA, 365 nt
Filed under: uncultured Microcystis sp.
Lineage: Bacteria; Bacillati; Cyanobacteriota; Cyanophyceae; Chroococcales; Microcystaceae
Description: partial 16S-23S ribosomal RNA intergenic spacer
Rfam family: tRNA (bases 136-209)
Source: RNAcentral